This 253-nucleotide ribosomal RNA is filed under the name uncultured bacterium. RNAcentral describes it as "partial 16S ribosomal RNA". It matches the Rfam family "Bacterial small subunit ribosomal RNA", at positions 524 to 776 of the family's 1533-position model. The record is from RNAcentral.
UACAGAGGUCCCAAGCGUUGUUCGGAUUCACUGGGCGUAAAGGGUGCGUAGGCGGUCGGGUAAGUCUGACGUGAAAUCUCACGGCUCAACCGUGGAACUGCAUUCGAAACUGUCGGGCUAGAGGCAGGUAGGGGAGAUCGGAAUUCCCGGUGUAGCGGUGAAAUGCGCAGAUAUCGGGAGGAACACCGGUGGCGAAGGCGGAUCUCUGGGCCUGUCCUGACGCUCAGGCGCGAAAGCUAGGGGAGCGAACAGG